Molecule: long non-coding RNA, 842 nt
Organism: Myotis brandtii (Brandt's bat)
Lineage: Eukaryota; Metazoa; Chordata; Mammalia; Chiroptera; Vespertilionidae
Exons: 3
Source: RefSeq, a predicted model, not a curated record
AUACCAAGAUCAUUAAGAGCAAGGUUGAAGAGAUGGAAAGAUCUACACACAAAAAGAACAAAGGGAAGAAACACCUCACCCCCUGGACAUCCAAAGAUAGCCUCUGGAACCAGGAAUAGAGAUUCAUGCCACACAAUUACUUAUCAGUUAAGCAGGUGAAAACACAGCAAGAAAAAGCAUAAAUUCCUGCUUCUCUGCCACUGGGUAUCAUGCCACCCAAAUUAUCUCAGUGCUUUGCAGACAGUCCUGGGUUGGCAUGUGACCGACAUUUAUGACUGCCACUGACAGCUUCCCCAUGGUUCUACAUUUAACAGAGCAACAUACCUGCAUAGUGGCCACCUUGUGAACAGAAGCUUUCCAUUCACUCCAGACACUUCUCUGUAUUUCGGUGACAGCAAUAAGACAUGCGCUGGAGGAAAUGAAUGCUAGCAGAGUUUUCUCUACUGGAGCACCUAGAGCUGAGCUGUGAUUUAAUAAGCUAGCAUGUCCCAGAAUUAAAGAAUAUUUUUUGAUAGAAGGAAAUAACCUUCAGGGUUUGGAAGACGUUUUCAAAAGCAAAAGUGUUUUUCACCAGAAACAUAAUAUUAAGUUACAAAUGAUCUGUAACACCUGCCAUUCAUCUGUGCUUAGGGAAAAAAUAAAAAGUUGGGCAAUAAAGGUAUGAAGCCUGUGCUGCGUGGAAAUCAUGGAAAUGAGGACGCACCACUGGCAAAGAGAUGCAGGAGGCCCCUCAAGCCCUGGCCAGAGGCUGGUGAAGGGCAGACAAACAUCCUAACAAGGAGAAGCACUCAGAAGACUGCACUCAGUGCUGAAAAUAGCAAACACACACACAUACACACACA